UGGCGCCCGAACAGGGACCUGGAAACGAGGGACUCCGUGAGGAAGAGGACGCAAAAGGACGGUCGACCGCUAACGAAGACAAAAGGAGUCAAACUCUUCCGAUCACCGCGGGAACCUGCCGCGUCAGAAUCGAAGGUAAGUGACGCGUCCGAAAUGGGACAAGAAUUAAGCCAACAUCAAAUAUAUGUAGGACAAUUAAAAGAGGCUUUAAAGAUACGAGGAGUAAAGGUUAAAGGUAAUGAUUUGUUUAAAUUUUUUGAUUUUGUAAGACACUUGCCCUU
Non-coding RNA from Macaca mulatta (Rhesus monkey), 281 nucleotides. Lineage: Eukaryota; Metazoa; Chordata; Mammalia; Primates; Cercopithecidae. The record is from Rfam.